Molecule: ribosomal RNA, 466 nt
Filed under: uncultured bacterium
Lineage: Bacteria
Description: partial 16S ribosomal RNA
Rfam family: Bacterial small subunit ribosomal RNA
Source: RNAcentral
GACGAACGCUGGCGGCGCGCCUAACACAUGCAAGUCGAACGAGCGAGAGAGAGCUUGCUUUCUCGAGCGAGUGGCGAACGGGUGAGUAACGCGUGAGGAACCUGCCUCAAAGAGGGGGACAACAGUUGGAAACGACUGCUAAUACCGCAUAAGCCCACGACCCGGCAUCGGGUAGAGGGAAAAGGAGCAAUCCGCUUUGAGAUGGCCUCGCGUCCGAUUAGCUAGUUGGUGAGGUAACGGCCCACCAAGGCGACGAUCGGUAGCCGGACUGAGAGGUUGAACGGACACAUUGGGACUGAGACACGGCCCAGACUCCUACGGGAGGGAGCAGUGGGGAAUAUUGCACCAUGGGGGAAACCCUGAUGCAGCGACGCCGCGUGGAGGAAGAAGGUAUUCGGAUUGUAAUCUCCUGUUGAUGAGGAAGAUAAUGACGGUACUCAAUAAGGAAGUGACGGCUAACUACGUG